AAAUUGCCCCAUACUCAUGUGAUCAACUGGGGAAGGAAAAUCAUGGACACAUACUUUCCAAAGCUCACAACACUUUUCUCUCCCGUCUUGCAGAUGUAGAGGAGGCUGACUCCCAUCCCCAAGCGUCAAUUUUUGGAAUCAUCCUAGGUUGUAUGAUUGGAAUCGUGGCCAUGGGAGGUCUGGGGUUGUUCCUGUACCCCAGGUUUCACUCAGCAGCCAGGCGUCGCUUACACGAAACCCACCGUGACCAGUGCUUCAGUGUAUCGGUAGGAACAGAAUAGAAACCCACACUGGGUGAAGACAUACAAUAUUCAACACUAGCCUUCAAGGCCAACCACCCUCCUCAGCCACAGCCAGCGGCCGUCUGGCCUUUGGAAAGCAACAUAAUAUGCUCAGAAAUCAAGAAGAAAUGAUCAGGGAUAAUUCUCCCCUGCUGGUCUCCUCAGUGCAAACAUCUCCUAUGACUUACCUCCUUUGCCUGGAUUGUUCUGGGGAAGUGUGUUGAAAAAAAUUGGUUUCCUUGUCUGAAGAGAAGAAUGUAGAAUUCUCCCACAUAGGCACACAGUCACCUGGUGUAAUAAAAAGUUUUAGCAGUGGG
This is a non-coding RNA of Podarcis muralis (Common wall lizard), 598 nucleotides long. The record is from RefSeq and is a predicted model, not a curated record. Lineage: Eukaryota; Metazoa; Chordata; Lepidosauria; Squamata; Lacertidae.